GAUGAACGCUGGCGGCGUGCUUAAUACAUGCAAGUCGAACGGAGACAUUAGCAAUAAUGUUUUAGUGGCGAACGGGUGAGUAACGCGUUGGUGACCUGCCCCGAAGAGAGGGAUAACAGUUCGAAAGGAUUGCUAAUACCUCAUGUGGUCAUUGGGAUUAGAAUCUGAUGACUAAAGCAGUAAUGCGCUUCGGGAGGGGCCUGCGUCCCAUCAGCUAGUUGGUAGGGUAAUGGCCUACCAAGGCUACGACGGGUAGGGACCUGAGAGGGUGGUCCCCCA
RNAcentral lists this ribosomal RNA (279 nucleotides) under uncultured Chloroflexota bacterium. RNAcentral's name for it is "uncultured Chloroflexi bacterium partial 16S ribosomal RNA". It matches the Rfam family "Bacterial small subunit ribosomal RNA", at positions 28 to 310 of the family's 1533-position model. The record is from RNAcentral. Lineage: Bacteria; Bacillati; Chloroflexota.